This 486-nucleotide ribosomal RNA is filed under the name uncultured bacterium. Its description in RNAcentral is "partial 16S ribosomal RNA". It matches the Rfam family "Bacterial small subunit ribosomal RNA", at positions 28 to 507 of the family's 1533-position model. The record is from RNAcentral.
GAUGAACGCUGGCGGCGUGCCUAAUACAUGCAAGUCGAACGCUGGAGAUCUAGCUUGCUAGAUCGAAGGAGUGGCGAACGGGUGAGUAAUACAUAAGCAACCUACCCACGAAGACUGGGAUAAUCUCUGGAAACGGGGACUAAUACCGGAUAGGUAAUCGGAAGGCAUCUUCUGGUUAUUAAAGGUUAAAAACACUGGUGGAUGGGCUUAUGGCGCAUUAGUUAGUUGGUGAGGUAACGGCCCACCAAGACGAUGAUGCGUAGCCGGCCUGAGAGGGGGAACGGCCACAUGGGGACUGAGACACGGCCCAGACUCCUACGGGAGGCAGCAGUAGGGAAUUGUCGGCAAGGGGGGCAACCCUGACCGAGCAACGCCGCGUGAGUGAAGACGGCCUUCGGGUUGUAAAGCUCUGUUGUAAGGGAAGAACGGUAGAUAGAGAAUAUCUAAGUGACGGUACCUUACCAGAAAGCCACGGCUAACUACGUG